GUUUGAUUAUGGCUCAGAUUGAACGCUGGUGGGAUGCUUUACAUACACGGGUCGGUGCGGCAACACGGACUUCGGUCUGGUGGCAGUGGCGAACGGGUGAAGUAAUGUAUCGGAACGUGCCCUAGUAGCGGGGGAUAACUGCAUGGCGUAGCUAAUACCGCAUACGCCCUUCGGGAAAAGCGGGGGGCCUUCGGGCCUCGCACUAAUCCGGCAGCCGAUAUCGGAUUAGCUGGACGGUGGGGUAACGGCUCACCAAGGCGACGAUCCGUAGCUGGUUUGAGAGGACGACCAGCCACACUGGGACUGAGACCUGUGCAGACUCCUACGGGAGGCAGCAGUGGGGAAUUUUGGACAAUGGGGAAGCCCUGAUCCAGCCAUCCCGCGUGUGCGAUGAAGGCGCUUCGGGUUGUAAGCACUUUUGGCAGGAAAGAAACGGCGCGGGAUAAUACCCCGUGCAACUGACAAGUACCUGCAGAAUAAGCACCGGCUAACUACGUGCCAGCAGCCGCGGUAAUACGUAGGGUGCAAGCGUUAUCCGAAUUACUGGGCGUAAAGCGUGCGCAGGCGGUUCGGAAAGAAAGAUGUGAAAUCCCGACUUAACUUUGGAACUGCAUUUUUAACUACCGAGCUAGAGUGUGUCAGAGGGAGGUGGAAUUCCUGUCUUAACAGUGAAAUGCGUAGAUAUGCGGAGGAACACCGAUGGCGAAGGCAGCCUCCUGGGAUAACACUGACGCUCAUGCACGAAAGCGAUGAGAGCAAACGGGAUUAGAAUGCCCUGACCGGAGUCCACGCCCUAAACGAUGUCAACUGGCUAUUUGGGGCCUUCGGGCCUUGGUAGCGCAACUAACGCGUGAAGUUGACCGCCUGGGAAAUACGGUCGCAAGAUUAAAAACUCAAAGGGGUGGCGGGGACCCGCACAAACGAAUGUGGAUGAUGUGGAUUAAUUCGAUGCAACACGAAAAACCUUACCUACCCUUGACGUAUCUGGAAUCUCUUUGAAGAUUUGAGUGCUCGCAAACCGAACCUGGUGGCUGACGCGGCUGUCGAAAUGUCGUGAGAUGAGCUGGAUUCAGUCACGCAACGAGCGCAACCCUUGUCAUUAGUUGCUACGAAAGGGCACUCUAAUGAGACUGCCGGUGACAAACCGGAGGAAGGUGGGGAUGACGUCAGAUCCUCGUGGCCCUUAUGGGUGGGCUUCACACGUCAUACAAUGGUCGGGACAAGAGGGUCGCCAACCGCGAGGGAGCCAAUCCCGAAACCCGAUCGCUAGUCCCGGAUCUGUGAUCUGCAACUCGACUGCGUGAAGUCGGAAUCGCUAGUAAUCGCGGAUCAGCAUGUCGCGGUGAAUACGGUGCUCCCGGGUCUUGUACACACCGCCCGUCACACCAUGGAGUGGGUUUACCAGAAGUAGUUAACAUAACCGUAAGGAGGGCGAUUACACACGUUGGGAUUCAUGACUGGGGUGAAGUCGUAACAAGGUAA
Molecule: ribosomal RNA, 1482 nt
Filed under: uncultured Bordetella sp.
Lineage: Bacteria; Pseudomonadati; Pseudomonadota; Betaproteobacteria; Burkholderiales; Alcaligenaceae
Description: partial 16S-23S ribosomal RNA intergenic spacer
Rfam family: Bacterial small subunit ribosomal RNA
Source: RNAcentral